This 253-nucleotide ribosomal RNA is filed under the name uncultured bacterium. Its description in RNAcentral is "partial 16S ribosomal RNA". It matches the Rfam family "Bacterial small subunit ribosomal RNA", at positions 524 to 776 of the family's 1533-position model. The record is from RNAcentral.
UACGUAGGGUGCGAGCGUUGUCCGGAAUUAUUGGGCGUAAAGAGCUUGUAGGCGGUCUGUCGCGUCUGCUGUGAAAAUCCGGGGUUCAACCCCGGACUUGCAGUGGGUACGGGCAGACUAGAGUGUGGUAGGGGAGACUGGAAUUCCUGGUGUAGCGGUGAAAUGCGCAGAUAUCAGGAGGAACACCGAUGGCGAAGGCAGGUCUCUGGGCCACUACUGACGCUGAGAAGCGAAAGCAUGGGGAGCGAACAGG